CAGUCGCCGCGGGAAUACGAAGGGGGCUAGCGUUGCUCGGAACCACUGGGCGUAAGGCGCACGUAGGCGGAUGUUUAAGUCAGAGGUGAAAGCCUGGAGCUCAACUCCAGAACUGCCUUUGAUACUGGGCAUCUUGAGUCCGGAAGAGGUAAGUGGAACUGCGAGUGUAGAGGUGAAAUUCGUAGAUAUUCGCAAGAACACCAGUGGCGAAGGCGGCUUACUGGUCCGGUACUGACGCUGAGGUGCGAAAGCGUGGGGAGCAAACAGGAUUAGAUACCCCCGUAGUCCCUGUCUCUUAUAC
This 301-nucleotide ribosomal RNA is filed under the name uncultured bacterium. RNAcentral describes it as "partial 16S ribosomal RNA". It matches the Rfam family "Bacterial small subunit ribosomal RNA", at positions 509 to 807 of the family's 1533-position model. The record is from RNAcentral.